UCAAGUGGGAUUGAUUUGGAGAGCAUGGGUAUAGUAUAACGUGAUGCUUUGUUGGCAUUUCGCACUCUUUGCAAGAUGGGUAUAAAGGAAGAUAAUGAUAAAGUUACAACCAAGACAAGGAUAUUAUCUCUUGAGCUUCUGCAGGGUUUGUUGGAGGGAGUUAGCCACUCAUUUACAAAGAAUUUUCAUUUAAUUGAUUCGGUGAAGGCAUAUCUUUCAUAUGCAUUAUUGUGAGCUUCAGUUUCACAAUUUCCUGUCAUAUUUCAGUAUGCAACUGGAAUAUUCUUGGUGCUGUUGUUA
Arachis ipaensis is the source of this 300-nucleotide non-coding RNA. Lineage: Eukaryota; Viridiplantae; Streptophyta; Magnoliopsida; Fabales; Fabaceae. The record is from RefSeq and is a predicted model, not a curated record.